GGAGGAAUGGCAGAGUGGUUGAAUGCACCGGUCUUGAAAACCGACGUACCGCAAGGUACCGGGGGUUCGAAUCCCUCUUCCUCCG
RNAcentral lists this transfer RNA (85 nucleotides) under Neolewinella marina. RNAcentral's name for it is "Lewinella marina tRNA". It matches the Rfam family "tRNA". From Rfam's summary of the family: Transfer RNA (tRNA) molecules are approximately 80 nucleotides in length. Their secondary structure includes four short double-helical elements and three loops (D, anti-codon, and T loops). The record is from Rfam by way of RNAcentral. Lineage: Bacteria; Pseudomonadati; Bacteroidota; Saprospiria; Saprospirales; Lewinellaceae. RNAcentral also lists the same sequence under 2 other names.